UCAUAUUGAGUGUCAAAAGAAUGGGAGAUUUUAACACAUAGCAGUCUAAAAGUAUUCUCGUAAUAGUCUAAAAAAUAGACUCGUAAUUAAUUAAAUGAAUUGAAUCAACACUCAAAGUUAGAUAUCAUAAAACUUAGAUCUAAGAAAUUAAUUUAGGCCGUUUGCACCCAAAAGAAGAAAAAGAACCUGCAAAUCAAACCCAAAAGACCAACAUGCAAUUAACGAGAUGAGGAAUCAAACCUUAGGGUAAUCGGAUUCAUCAAAAGGGAACCCCAUCGACCUUAAUUCCAAUGGGAACCUGGAUGAACAGAGGGAGGCAGUGGCACGGCUGGUGGUGGCGUAGAUGGUGGAGUUGACGAGAGGCGAGCUGGCGACGCUGGGGGGAGACGCCGGAGCGGAGGAGAAAGAGCGGGGGCUGGUUUGCGGCUGCUAUUGUUGGUGGCAGUAGAUCUGGAGGUCCGCCAUUGGUGUUGCCUGGCCAAUGAAGAGAGUAGAGCAACGACGAUAGUAGCCAUGGAUGUCGAUGAUGAUGAAAAGAGAGAAAGACAGGUAGAGAGAGAAGGGAUAGAGAGAUGAGGGAGGC
RNAcentral lists this long non-coding RNA (583 nucleotides) under Capsicum annuum. RNAcentral describes it as "long non-coding RNA (CANN_LNC004662)". The record is from RNAcentral. Lineage: Eukaryota; Viridiplantae; Streptophyta; Magnoliopsida; Solanales; Solanaceae.